This 468-nucleotide ribosomal RNA is filed under the name uncultured bacterium. RNAcentral describes it as "partial 16S ribosomal RNA". It matches the Rfam family "Bacterial small subunit ribosomal RNA", at positions 28 to 507 of the family's 1533-position model. The record is from RNAcentral.
GACGAACGCUGGCGGCGUGCUUAACACAUGCAAGUCGAACGGAAAGGCCCUGCUUUUGUGGGGUGCUCGAGUGGCGAACGGGUGAGUAACACGUGAGUAACCUGCCCUUGACUUUGGGAUAACUUCAGGAAACUGGGGCUAAUACCGGAUAGGAGCUCCUGCUGCAUGGUGGGGGUUGGAAAGUUUCGGCGGUUGGGGAUGGACUCGCGGCUUAUCAGCUUGUUGGUGGGGUAGUGGCUUACCAAGGCGUUGACGGGUAGCCGGCCUGAGAGGGUGACCGGCCACAGUGGGACUGAGAUGCGGCCCAGACUCCUACGGGAGGCAGCAGUGGGGAAUAUUGCACAAUGGGCGGAAGCAUGAUGCAGCAACGCCGCGUGCGGGAGGACGGCCUUCGGGGUGUAAACCGCUUUCGCCUGUGACGAAGCGUGAGUGACGGUAAUGGGUAAAGAAGCACCGGCUAACUACGUG